CAAUAGCGUAUAUUUAAGUUGUUGCAGUUAAAAAGCUCGUAGUUGGAUUUCGGAUGGGACUUGCCGGUCCGUCGUUUCGAUGUGCACUGGCCAGUCCUAUCUUGUUGUCGGGGACUAGCUCCUGGGCUUCACUGUCCGGGACUAGGAGCUGACGAGGUUACUUUGAGUAAAUUAGAGUGUUCAAAGCAAGCCUACGCUCUGAAUACAUUAGCAUGGAAUAACACGAUAGGACUCUGGCUUAUCUUGUUGGUCUGUGAGACCAGAGUAAUGAUUAAGGGGGACAGUCGGGGGCAUUCGUAUUUCAUUGUCAGAGGUGAAAUUCUUGGAUUUAUGAAAGACGAACUUCUGCGAAAGCAUUUGUCAAGGAUGUUUNCAUUA
This 378-nucleotide ribosomal RNA is filed under the name uncultured eukaryote. Its description in RNAcentral is "partial 18S ribosomal RNA". It matches the Rfam family "Eukaryotic small subunit ribosomal RNA", at positions 592 to 975 of the family's 1831-position model. The record is from RNAcentral.